Molecule: ribosomal RNA, 448 nt
Filed under: uncultured bacterium
Lineage: Bacteria
Description: partial 16S ribosomal RNA
Rfam family: Bacterial small subunit ribosomal RNA
Source: RNAcentral
CCAGACUCCUACGGGAGGCAGCAGUGGGGAAUAUUGGACAAUGGGGGGAACCCUGAUCCAGCGACGCCGCGUGAGUGAAGAAGUAUUUCGGUAUGUAAAGCUCUAUCAGCAGGGAAGAAAGAAAUGACGGUACCUGAAUAAGAAGCACCGGCUAAAUACGUGCCAGCAGCCGCGGUAAUACGUAUGGUGCAAGCGUUAUCCGGAUUUACUGGGCGUAAAGGGAGCGCAGGCGGCGCGCCAAGUCUAAUGUGAAGCCCCGGGGCGCAACCCCGGGCAUGCAUUGGAAACUGGCGGGCUGGAGUGCCGGAGAGGUAAGCGGAAUUCCUAGGGUAGCGGUGAAAUGCGUAGAUAUUAGGAGGAACACCAGUGGCGAAGGCGGCUUACUGGACGGCAACUGACGCUGAGGCUCGAAGGCGUGGGGAGCAAACAGGAUUAGAUACCCCAGUAA